RNAcentral lists this transfer RNA (91 nucleotides) under Bacillota bacterium. Its description in RNAcentral is "tRNA-Ser". It matches the Rfam family "tRNA". Rfam says of the family: Transfer RNA (tRNA) molecules are approximately 80 nucleotides in length. Their secondary structure includes four short double-helical elements and three loops (D, anti-codon, and T loops). Lineage: Bacteria; Bacillati; Bacillota. RNAcentral also lists the same sequence under 3 other names. The record is from RNAcentral.
GGAGAGUUGGCUGAGUGGUCGAAGGCGCACGACUGGAAAUCGUGUUCACGUUAAUAGCGUGACCAGGGUUCAAAUCCCUGACUCUCCGCCA